ACGGGGGGCGUGGCUUGUCUCGGCCCCGCCCAGGAGGCGUAACGGGGCCUGACUGCGCGUGCGCGCGAGGCCCGCAGCGGCCCGGCUCUCCAUGGCGGCCUGAGGCCCUCCUGUUGUUGCGCGGGUCUGAACUCCACCAAGCCCUCCUCAAAGGAGCGCUCCGUCCGCACAGACGCCGCUCCUGGCCGAGGGCUCCUGACCAGGAAGGUGGACGAGGGCUGUACACCGGCAACCCCAACCUCCGAGGGGACGGGAAACAAAUUUCACGCGAGGUUUCGGAACUGUCGCGAGAAUCGGAACGGGAAACGAGGCGUCCAAAAGGAAAAGCCCGCGGGUUUUAAGCCAGGGAAGAACGGGAACCGGCAGGUGCUGAUGGUGGCACUAGGCAGCCCCUUGGCUGGGGGACGCAUGAAGUGUUGACCUGGGAGCAGAAGUGAACCGAGGGUUGCAGAAGGUUCUGGAAAAGGCGCGAGGGGGCUUGCCUAGCGGAGGACGGAGGCCCUCGGGGAGGCCCCUGCUGUGGCCGACAGUGGCCUUGGGGCGGCGAUCGUCCCCCCGAGGUAGAGCCGGAGCUGUCCAGGAGAGCUAAAGGACUGUGAGCGUCCAGCGCUGGCAGCCACUGCCAAUCUGCAGCGUCAGGGUCCCAGGCGCUCCCUCCACCUUUUCGUUCCCGGUGUUUGCUGUUAGUCUUUGCCAUACCUUGCGCCCCUACUAGAAACCACGCCUGGUUCCCCACUGUGUUUUAUGACUCUCUACCCCCGCGACUGGCUGCUGAGUAAGUUCUUGGGAAGCAUUUGUGCAUUAAACGUGAAAGACUCCCGGACUCUGAAAGAUGACUUUGAACUGAAUUUGCUGUCACUGAUGAAGAGGCUAGGGAUUAAAUCGACGGAGAACGAGCGCCCUCUGGUGUCUCUAGGAUGCUGUAAGCCAGAUCAAGCUGAAUUGAAAAAGUAAAAGAACAGGUAUAUUUUGAGUAAAGCAACUCCUGGGUGAGUCCUCCAAACCCAGAGAUCGGCCAAAGAAGCCAUGCGUCCCAACUAAAGCAGGGAGCAUAUAUACCCUGCAGGCGAGACAGACUUGUCUUCCACAAGCUGGGUUUGUGCCCACGCGUGGUCAAAAACUGACUGCUUUAGGCGGGGUCUUGGGCUACUGGCAACUUCCGGGGAGGAGCUGCCGAAGUCUCCAAGAAUUCGGAACUGGGCUUUUUGGUGCCUUUCUGCUUUGUUGGAUAUUCUCUGAGAGGGUGGGAUUUGGAGAGAGAAGAAUCGGACUUUCCAGAUCAAGCUUGAGUGAACUGGAGGUUCCACCCAAACAGAUCUGUGCAUGUGAAUGCAGUUAUCAACAGAAGCCAGGGAUGUUGGAUCCCUGGAGAUGGAGUUGGAGGUAUGGGCCUGCUGCUGUGAGCUGGGAACCCAGCUCUGGUCCUCUGGAAGAGCCUUAAUACUCAACCACUGAACCGUCUCUGCGGCCCAGUGGUAGAUGUUUAAAAAGACUCCAAAGUGCCAUGCUGUGGAGAUGCAGGGAUGCGUGUGGCCAGAUGGUAGGAAAUGACAAGGUAGGAAGGUGAUGAGGAACUUCCUGUGUGGGUCACAGCUUCUCAUCACUGAGGCUUCAGGGCGGGAGCCUAGAGAGGUCUAGGGGUGUGGCUCAGUGGCACAGUUUACACGAGGCCUUGGAUUUGGAUCUUCAACACUACAGAAAAGUAAGAAAAAAGCAGGUAGGGAAAACCUUAUCCUUACCUGUAGCUGGGCCUGGUGAUGCGGGUCUCUAAUCCUGCUCCAUUCUUUUGCAGGUGGGAUCAGCCUUCUCACAGGCUUGGGACAGGAACAGCACCUAGGACCUAGGGAGCCGACAAUUUCCUCAGGGAGAGAAGGAAAUGGAAGAGAGGACUUGUCCAGAGGCACCCUGUUCCGCGGCACAUCAGAGACUACAUCUUCCUUUGUUUGCCUGACUAACCUCCAACUUCUUGCCUCAUGCCAUCCUCCUGCCUCAUCUGGGAAUGUAGGCACUGGCUACAGCUUGCACCAGAGCUGAGACUUAAUAUUGUCUCUUAAUACAAAAUA
Long non-coding RNA from Peromyscus leucopus (white-footed mouse), 2063 nucleotides. RefSeq lists it as uncharacterized. The record is from RefSeq and is a predicted model, not a curated record. Lineage: Eukaryota; Metazoa; Chordata; Mammalia; Rodentia; Cricetidae. The transcript has 3 exons.